This 460-nucleotide ribosomal RNA is filed under the name uncultured bacterium. RNAcentral describes it as "partial 16S ribosomal RNA". It matches the Rfam family "Bacterial small subunit ribosomal RNA", at positions 338 to 795 of the family's 1533-position model. The record is from RNAcentral.
CCUACGGGUGGCAGCAGUGAGGAAUAUUGGUCAAUGGACGAGAGUCUGAACCAGCCAAGUAGCGUGAAGGAUGACUGCCCUCUGGGUUGUAAACUUCUUUUAUAAAGGAAUAAAACGCGGCACGUGUGCCUUUUUGCAUGUACUUUAUGAAUAAGGAUCGGCUAACUCCGUGCCAGCCGCCGCGGUAAUACGGAGGAUCCGAGCGUUAUCCGGAUUUAUUGGGUUUAAAGGGAGCGUAGAUGGGUUGUUAAGUCAGUUGUGAAAGUUUGCGGCUCAACCGUAAAAUUGCAUUUGAUACUGGCAAGCUUGAGUACAGUUGAGGGAGGCGGAAUUCGUGGUGUAGCGGUGAAAUGCUUAGAGAUCACGAAGAACCCCGAUUGCGAAGGCAGCUUACUAAACUGUGACUGACAUUGAUGCUCGAAAGUGUGGGUAUCAAACAGGAUUAGAUACCCCAGUAGUC